GGGGAAUUGUUCGCAAUGGGCGCAAGCCUGACGACGCAACGCCGCGUGGAGGAUGAAGAUCUUCGGGUCGUAAACUCCUUUCGAUCGAGACGAACGGCCUCUGGGUGAACAAUCCAGAGGAGUGACGGUACCGAGAGAAGAAGCCCCGACUAACUCCGUGCCAGCAGCCGCGGUAAUACGGAGGGUGCGAGCGUUGUCCGGAAUCAUUGGGCGUAAAGGGCGCGUAGGUGGCCCGGUCAGCGUGCGGUGAAAGCUCGGGGCUCAACCCCGAGUCGGCCGUGCGAACUGCUGGGCUCGAGCACUGUAGAGACAGGCGGAAUUCCGGGUGUAGCGGUGGAAUGCGUAGAGAUCCGGAAGAACACCGGUGGCGAAGGCGGCCUGCUGGGCAGUUGCUGACACUGAGGCGCGACAGCGUGGGGAGCAAAC
This 426-nucleotide ribosomal RNA is filed under the name uncultured bacterium. RNAcentral's name for it is "bacterial SSU rRNA". It matches the Rfam family "Bacterial small subunit ribosomal RNA", at positions 356 to 773 of the family's 1533-position model. The record is from RNAcentral.